Molecule: ribosomal RNA, 253 nt
Filed under: uncultured bacterium
Lineage: Bacteria
Description: partial 16S ribosomal RNA
Rfam family: Bacterial small subunit ribosomal RNA
Source: RNAcentral
UACGGAGGGUGCAAGCGUUAUCCGGAUUCACUGGGUUUAAAGGGUGCGUAGGUGGGUCUGUAAGUCAGUGGUGAAAUCCCCGAGCUUAACUUGGGAACUGCCGUUGAUACUAUAGAUCUCGAAUAUCGUGGAGGUAAGCGGAAUAUGUCAUGUAGCGGUGAAAUGCUUAGAUAUGACAUAGAACACCAAUUGCGAAGGCAGCUUACUACACGAUCAUUGACACUGAGGCACGAAAGCGUGGGGAGCAAACAGG